AACGAACGCUGGCGGCAUGCCUAACACAUGCAAGUCGAACGAGACCUUCGGGUCUAGUGGCGCACGGGUGCGUAACGCGUGGGAACCUGCCCUUAGGUUCGGAAUAACUCCCCGAAAGGGGUGCUAAUACCGGAUAAUGUCUUCGGACCAAAGAUUUAUCGCCUUUGGAUGGGCCCGCGUUGGAUUAGCUAGUUGGUAGGGUAAAAGCCUACCAAGGCGACGAUCCAUAGCUGGUCUGAGAGGAUGAUCAGCCACACUGGGACUGAGACACGGCCCAGACUCCUACGGGAGGCAGCAGUGGGGAAAAUGGGACAAUGGGCGAAAGCCUGAGCCAGCAAGGCCGCGUGAGUGAUGAAGGCCUUAGGGUGGUAAAGCUCUUUUACCCGGGAUGAUAAGGACAGUACCGGGAGAAGAAGCACCGGCGAACUCCGU
RNAcentral lists this ribosomal RNA (432 nucleotides) under uncultured bacterium. RNAcentral's name for it is "partial 16S ribosomal RNA". It matches the Rfam family "Bacterial small subunit ribosomal RNA", at positions 29 to 506 of the family's 1533-position model. The record is from RNAcentral.